AGUAGCAACGGACACAGUCAAACAACUAUAACGGCGGCUGCUACAUCCCUGCCAGUUUAUAGAAGCAGCUCUACCUCUUCCAGAUGAAGGUUCGCCAAGUCAAGGAGCAGGCCAGCCAGAACAGGCAGAUG
This 131-nucleotide small nuclear RNA is filed under the name Strombidium inclinatum. RNAcentral's name for it is "partial Dictyostelium signal recognition particle". The record is from RNAcentral. Lineage: Eukaryota; Ciliophora; Spirotrichea; Strombidiidae.